This 293-nucleotide ribosomal RNA is filed under the name uncultured bacterium. Its description in RNAcentral is "partial 16S ribosomal RNA". It matches the Rfam family "Bacterial small subunit ribosomal RNA", at positions 505 to 796 of the family's 1533-position model. The record is from RNAcentral.
GUGCCAGCCGCCGCGGUAACACGUAGGUGGCGAGCGUUAUUCGGAAUCACUGGGCGUAAAGGGUCCGCAGGGGGUCUGCCAAGUCCGGUGUGAAAGCCCGCGGCUCAACCGCGGAAGUGCAUUGGAAACUGGCGGACUUGAGUACAGGAGAGGAGAGCGGAAUUCCCGGUGUAGCGGUGGAAUGCGUAGAUAUCGGGAAGAACACCGAGCAGCGAAGGCAGCUCUCUGGCCUGUCACUGACCCUGAGGGACGAAAGCGUGGGCAGCGAACAGGAUUAGAAACCCGAGUAGUCC